CCUACGGGUGGCAGCAGUGAGGAAUAUUGGUCAAUGGACGCAAGUCUGAACCAGCCAUGCCGCGUGCAGGAUGACGGCCUUAUGAGUUGAAAAUUGCUUUUGUACGAGGGUAAACCCCGAUACGUGUAUCGGGUUGAAAGUAUCGUACGUAUAAGGAACGGCUAACUCCGUGCCAGCCGACGCGGUAAUACGGAGGAUACGAGCGUUGUCCGGAUUUAUUGGGUUUAAAGGGUACGUAGGCGGUUUGAUAAGUUAGAGGUGAAAUGCCGGGGCUCAACCCCGAAACUGCCUCUAAUACUGGUGAACUAGAGAAUAGUUGCGGUAGGCGGAAUGUAUGGUGUAGCGGUGAAAUGCUUAGAGAUCAGACAGAACACCGAAUGCGAAGGCAGCUUACCAAGCUAUAUCUGACGUUGAGGCACGAAAGCGUGGGUAGCAAACAGGAUUAGAUACCCCGGUAGUC
This 460-nucleotide ribosomal RNA is filed under the name uncultured bacterium. RNAcentral describes it as "partial 16S ribosomal RNA". It matches the Rfam family "Bacterial small subunit ribosomal RNA", at positions 338 to 795 of the family's 1533-position model. The record is from RNAcentral.